RNAcentral lists this ribosomal RNA (253 nucleotides) under uncultured bacterium. RNAcentral describes it as "partial 16S ribosomal RNA". It matches the Rfam family "Bacterial small subunit ribosomal RNA", at positions 524 to 776 of the family's 1533-position model. The record is from RNAcentral.
UACGGGGGGGGCAAGCGUUGUUCGGAAUUACUGGGCGUAAAGGGCUCGUAGGCGGCCAACUAAGUCGGAUGUGAAAUCCCCAAGCUUAACUUGGGAACUGCAUCCGAUACUGGAUGGCUUGAAUCCGGGAGAGGGAUGCAGAAUUCCAGGUGUAGCGGUGAAAUGCGUAGAUAUUGGGAGGAACACCAGUGGCGAAGGCGGCUCACUGGACCGGUACUGACGCUGAUGCGCGAAAGCGUGGGGAGCAAACGGG